This 443-nucleotide ribosomal RNA is filed under the name uncultured Eubacteriales bacterium. RNAcentral's name for it is "uncultured Clostridiales bacterium partial 16S ribosomal RNA". Lineage: Bacteria; Bacillati; Bacillota; Clostridia; Eubacteriales. The record is from RNAcentral.
GACUACUAGGGUAUCUAAGCCUGUUUGCUCCCCACGCUUUCGUGCCUCAGCGUCAGUUACAGUCCAGAAAGCCGCCUUCGCCACUGGUGUUCCUCCUAAUAUCUACGCAUUUCACCGCUACACUAGGAAUUCCGCUUCCCUCUCCUGCACUCUAGCCGCCCAGUUUCAAAUGCACCACCCGAGUUAAGCCCGGGGAUUUCACAUCUGACUUAGGCAACCGCCUACGCACCCUUUACGCCCAGUAAUUCCGGACAACGCUUGCCCCCUACGUAUUACCGCGGCUGCUGGCACGUAGUUAGCCGGGGCUUCCUCCUUGGGUACCGUCAUUUUUUUCGUCCCCAAGGACAGAGGUUUACAAUCCGAAGACCUUCUUCCCUCACGCGGCGUUGCUGGGUCAGGCUUUCGCCCAUUGCCCAAUAUUCCCCACUGCUGCCGCCCGUAGG